Molecule: long non-coding RNA, 780 nt
Filed under: Elaeis guineensis (African oil palm)
Lineage: Eukaryota; Viridiplantae; Streptophyta; Magnoliopsida; Arecales; Arecaceae
Description: long non-coding RNA (EGUI_LNC078342)
Source: RNAcentral
UCCCUCUAUCUUUCGCAUCAAGUGUGAUGAAUUGGAAUUCAUCAUCGGUCAUGUGUCUUGAGCACCCACUAUCAAUAUACCAUUUUCUAUUUGUUCCUUGGGAUGCAAGAUACACCUGCAUGCAAAAAUCAAAUUUUUACUUUAGGUACCAAAGUUUUCUUGGAUCCUCUUUGGUUAGUCACAAUGGUUCCUUUUGGAAUCCAUAUUUUCUUCACAUUAGAAUUUUUAGAUUUGUUAAAGAAAUAAGUAUAAGAUUUGUGUCCUAUUAUACUACAUUUAAAAUAAGUAGUAUUUGAAAACUUGUUGCUUGAUGAAUUCGCAUAGAUAUUUUUUAAGAAUUUUUGUUUCUUUAAAGGGUUGUAGCCAAGACCGACUUUAUCAUAAACGAUCUUUUGAUUAUCAAGUAUCAUUUGAAGUUUAGUUGAACUAAGAGUGAACUUUUCUACUAUAGGUUUUAACUUAGCAAUUUUAUUUUUUAAAUUUAGAUUUUUUUGUAUCAAGACUAAUUUUUUAUUUAAAAUUAUUUUAUUUUUUUUAAUAAAGAUUAAUUCUUUGAUUUUAAUUCUUUGUUCUUUACCUCUAACUUCUUUAGAUCAUCAACUAGAUCAUAAAAUACUUCUUAAAGUUCUUCAAAAGUAAAGUCAUCAGGAGUUUCAGUGUUUACCUCAUUUUCAUGUGCCAUAAGGCACAAGUUGGUUUGCUCAUAUGAAUCUUCUUCUUCGAAGCUUGACUCAUCACUAUCACUCCAAGUAGCCAUCAUAGCUUUUUUCUUGUACUUCU